AUACCAAGUGGGGGUGAGGAGCAAGUAUUGACACCUGCUAUAAAUACUGAACAGCAUAUUUCCACAUAUCAUGCAGCAGGUUGGAGCAAGAGGCUGUGUGGAGCGUUGAUGAGAAGCAGGAUUGGUUUUAUCUUCCUUCAAGCAGGGUGUUUGCUUUGACAAAGCAUGCUUUCUGGCCACACCUGUUUCAUCGAACAUGAGAGUAAAACCUGGUGCUGGAGCCAUGGUGAAAGUCCAGGGGGUGUCACCAGCACGCGAGAAACAACACAAAACACAGAUAAAGUGUAAUGCCGCUACACUUGGAAAAACACUAUCACAAAUAAACAACAAAGACACACAGAGAUUUGGAUUAGAGACCAGGAUCAAUAGCAACACGAUGCAAGAAGUUGUGUACAAUAAACACCAAAAGGUUGUGGAAUAGUGUGUCUUAUUGGUGACGAAGUGUGGAGUGUCUGCAGGUGACUCACCAGAAAGACCACAUUUGUCUGCUGAUACAAGGCUCUGGCCACACUGAUGCGCUGCUUCUGCCCACCCGAGAGGAUGAUACCCUGUAAUAAAGGCAGGAGUGUAACGCAAGAUGAGAUGCUAUCACACAAAAGGGAACAAAUGGCUUCAUUUUAAAAGCGGCCAGUCCUGUUAUCCCCUAAGUCGGACUGCAAUCCAUCAUAAAAGUCCAAAUCCCUGCACACACCAGCAUCUCAUCCUUGCAGCACAGUAAUAAUGACCAAUGUUGUUGCAGUGUAACAAGCCACAGAGGGAUAAGCCAUUGCCAGAUCAGGCAAUAAAAAAAACCAACAGAGGAAUUCAAAUGAAUCGUUACUGACCCUCUCUCCAAUCUCUGUCUGGUCCCCCUGUGGCAGGAUGUCGAUGUCAGGCUGAAGAGAGCAGGCUUCAAUGACGGCUUUGUAUCUAGAGAAAACAAACAGACGGACAGAAUACAGAAGAGGACCAGCACACAAAAGCUCAACUGCAACAAUAUUGUACCAAACACCUGCAAAAAAACCUGUAGAUUCCUCAAUUGUCAAAUAUUGUGCAUACAGAACUACUAAAAUUCAAAGAUUGUGUGGAACUA
Molecule: long non-coding RNA, 1072 nt
Organism: Nerophis ophidion (straightnose pipefish)
Lineage: Eukaryota; Metazoa; Chordata; Actinopteri; Syngnathiformes; Syngnathidae
Exons: 3
Source: RefSeq, a predicted model, not a curated record